Molecule: ribosomal RNA, 279 nt
Filed under: Anaerostipes hadrus ATCC 29173 = JCM 17467
Lineage: Bacteria; Bacillati; Bacillota; Clostridia; Lachnospirales; Lachnospiraceae
Description: Anaerostipes hadrus DSM 3319 partial 16S ribosomal RNA
Rfam family: Bacterial small subunit ribosomal RNA
Source: RNAcentral
UAUGGUAAUUCCAGCAGCCGCGGUAAUACGUAGGGGGCAAGCGUUAUCCGGAAUUACUGGGUGUAAAGGGUGCGUAGGUGGUAUGGCAAGUCAGAAGUGAAAACCCAGGGCUUAACUCUGGGACUGCUUUUGAAACUGUCAGACUGGAGUGCAGGAGAGGUAAGCGGAAUUCCUAGUGUAGCGGUGAAAUGCGUAGAUAUUAGGAGGAACAUCAGUGGCGAAGGCGGCUUACUGGACUGAAACUGACACUGAGGCACGAAAGCGUGGGGAGCAAACAGG